Molecule: long non-coding RNA, 237 nt
Filed under: Ailuropoda melanoleuca (giant panda)
Lineage: Eukaryota; Metazoa; Chordata; Mammalia; Carnivora; Ursidae
Description: lncRNA (ENSAMEG00000030336.1)
Source: RNAcentral
CACUGGCAGAAAAGAGAUGAAGAUUUCCAGAUAUAGAGACUCACAAGAUAAAGAAGCCCAGAGUCGUUAGACAGAGGAGCAGAUGUACAGGGUGCGCCUGACUCACACUCACGGUUGCAUAAGAAAUAUUAUUUCCUACUUCUGCACACCAAGUUUCUACCUCCAGAUCUGUUUGCUUCAGUUGCUGAGAAGCCUGACCCUCCAGUACCACUUGGGAGAAGCCAUCCACUGGACGGA